UGGGGAAUAUUGCACAAUGGGCGCAAGCCUGAUGCAGCCAUGCCGCGUGUGUGAAGAAGGCCUUCGGGUUGUAAAGCACUUUCAGCGAGGAGGAAGGUGGUGGACUUAAUACGUUCAUCAAUUGACGUUACUCGCAGAAGAAGCACCGGCUAACUCCGUGCCAGCAGCCGCGGUAAUACGGAGGGUGCAAGCGUUAAUCGGAAUUACUGGGCGUAAAGCGCACGCAGGCGGUUUGUUAAGUCAGAUGUGAAAUCCCCGGGCUCAACCUGGGAACUGCAUUUGAAACUGGCAAGCUAGAGUCUCGUAGAGGGGGGUAGAAUUCCAGGUGUAGCGGUGAAAUGCGUAGAGAUCUGGAGGAAUACCGGUGGCGAAGGCGGCCCCCUGGACGAAGACUGACGCUCAGGUGCGAAAGCGUGGGGAGCAAACAGGAUUAGAUACCCCUGGUAGUCCACGCUGUAAAACGAUGUCGAUUUUGGAGGUUGUGCCCCUUGAGGCGUGGNUUCCGGAGCUAACGCGUUAAAUCGACCGCCUGGGGAGUACGGCC
RNAcentral lists this ribosomal RNA (544 nucleotides) under uncultured bacterium. RNAcentral describes it as "partial 16S ribosomal RNA". It matches the Rfam family "Bacterial small subunit ribosomal RNA", at positions 355 to 887 of the family's 1533-position model. The record is from RNAcentral.